This 253-nucleotide ribosomal RNA is filed under the name uncultured bacterium. RNAcentral describes it as "partial 16S ribosomal RNA". It matches the Rfam family "Bacterial small subunit ribosomal RNA", at positions 524 to 776 of the family's 1533-position model. The record is from RNAcentral.
UACGGAGGGUGCAAGCGUUAUCCGGAUUUACUGGGUUUAAAGGGUGCGCAGGCGGAUAUGUAAGUCAGUGGUGAAAUCUCCAGGCUUAACCUGGAAAUUGCCGUUGAUACUAUAUAUCUUGAAUGCUGUGGAGGUAAGCGGAAUAUGUCAUGUAGCGGUGAAAUGCUUAGAUAUGACAUAGAACACCUAUUGCGAAGGCAGCUUACUACGCAGAUAUUGACGCUCAUGCACGAAAGCGUGGGGAGCAAACAGG